GGUCACCCAAAAUGCGUAUAUACAACCCAACGAAACAACGUUCCUCCAGACCACGGUCACCCACAAUACAUAUAUACAACCCAACGAAACAACGUCCCUCUGGACCACGGUCACCCACAAUACAUAUAUACAACCCAACGAAAGAACGUCCCUCUGGACCACGGUCACCCACAAUACAUAUAUACAACCCAACGAAACAACGUUCCUCUGGACCACGGUCACCCACAAUACAUAUAUACAACCCAAUGAAACAACGUUCCUCUGGACCACGGUCACCCACAAUACAUAUAUACAACCCAACAAAACAACGUCCCUCCGGACCACGGUCACCCACAAUACAUAUAUACAACCCAACGAAACAACGUUCUUCUGGACCACGGUCACCCACAAUACAUAUAAACAACCCAACGAAACAACGUUCUUCUGGACCACGGUCACCCACAAUACAUAUAUACAACCCAACGAAACAACGUCCCUCCAGACCACGGUCACCCACAAUACAUAUAUACAACCCAACGAAACAACGUCCCUCCGGACCACGGUCACCCACAAUACAUAUAUACAACCCAACGAAACAACGUUCCUCUGGACCACGGUCACCCACAAUACAUAUAAACAACCCAACGAAACAACGUUCUUCUGGACCACGGUCACCCACAAUACAUAUAUACAACCCAACAAAACAACGUCCCUCCGGACCACGGUCACCCACAAUACAUAUAUACAACCCAACGAAACAACGUCGCUCCGGACCACGGUCACCCACAAUACAUAUAUACAACCCAACGAAACAACGUUCCUCUGGACCACGGUCACCCACAAUACAUAUAUACAACCCAACGAAACAACGUUCCUCCAGACCACGGUCACCCACAAUACGUAUAUACAACCCAACGAAACAACGUUCCUCCGGACCACGGUCACCCACAAUACGUAUAUACAACCCAACGAAACAGCGUCCCUCCGGACCACGGUCACCCACAAUACGUAUAUACAACCCAACGAAACAACGUUCCUCCGGACCACGGUCACCCACGAUACGUACAUACAACCCAACGAAACAACGUUCCUCCGGACCACGGUCACCCACGAUACGUACAUACAACCCAACGAAACAACAUUCCUCCGGACCACGGUCACCCACAAUACAUAUAUACAACCCAACGAAACAACGUUCCUCCGGACCACGGUCACCCACAAUGCAUAUAUACAACCCAAUGAAACAAUGUUCCUCCGGACCACGGUCACCCACAAUACGUAUAUACAACCCAAUGAAACAGCGUUCCUCUGGACCAUGAUCACCCACAAUACAUAUAUACAACCCAACGAAACAAUGUUCUUCCGGACCACGGUCACCCACAAUACAUAUAUACAACCCAACGAAACAACGUUCCUCCGGACCACGGUCACCCACAAUACAUAUAUACAACCCAACGAAACAAUGUUCCUCCGGACCACGGUCACCCACAAUACAUAUAUACAACCCAACGAAACAACGUUCCUCCGGACCACGGUCACCCACAAUACAUAUAUAACACACACAGCACACAAACCAAAAUAUUACAAGUUAAAAAAAUAUAAUUCAAAAUGCAAGUAGCACACAGUACCAGUAGACAGUCAACAGUUCAGUAAACAGCUCAAAGAAAUUUUUAUUAUCAAAGUACAUAUGUCACCACAUACAGCCCUGAGUGAGAUCCAUUUUCCUGUGGGCAUACACAAUGAAUCUAUAGAAUAGUAUCUAUAACAGCAUCAAUGAAAGAUCAACCAGAGCGCAGAAGACAACACACUGUGCAAAUGCAAAUAUAAAUAUAAUGCUGCUUUCCUACAACAGUGUUUCAUAUAGAUGUGCUCAAUGGUUGGAAGGACUUUACCCAUGUGGUACUGGGCUGUAUCCAAUACUUUUUGGAAGAUUUUCUGUUUAAAGGCAUUGGUGUUUCCAUACCAGGCUUUGCUGCAGUCUUUACUCUCCUCUAUGCAGUUAUACAAGUUCGUCAAAAAUUUAAAUGUCAUUCUGAAUCUCUGCAAACUCCGAAGGAAGUCAAGGCGAUGCGGUGCUUUCUUUGUAAUAGCACUUAACAUACUGGGCCCAUGAUAGGUACUCUGAUAUAGUAACACACAAGAAUUGAAAAUUCACUGUCCCACUGUCCUAGUGACGAGAACCUGGCGGUAUUCAUUAGUUUCAUAGCCUGAAGGAAGAAGCCGUUAUCUAGUCUAGCAGUCCUAGUCCUGAUGCUCCUGCAUCUCCUUCCUGACGAUAGUUGGUCAAAGAGAUUUGUAGGAUGGGUGAUGAGAUCCUCAACAAUGUUUUGGGCCCUUUGUCCUGGUAAGUGUCACAAAUUGGGGGGGGGGGGGUGGUGAUGGAUGGAUGACAUGAUUUCACACAAUGCAUCUAAGUGAAAAAACCACAACAGUGUAUAUUUGGGUGAACAUUAGAAGUUGUUUAUCAGAUUCUAUGACAGAACUAUUUCUAUCUGCAGAUUAAGCUGCUGUGCCAGUAACCUUUGGACACGACUGGUUUUCAAUUAAGUUCUACCUCUCUUCUUGCAUCUGUUGCCGGAAGGAACAAACAAGAUGUUUUUAGCACUGAACAUUUUGGCAUGGAAACUACUGCGAUGGACAGGAAGUGUCUACAACGGCUUGUCAAAAAUAUCCAUCAUUAACACUAGCCUACCUGCCAUCAAGGACAUAUAUACAGAAAGGUGUCGGAAAAGGGCCAGUUACAUCGUGAAGGAUCCCACCCACCUUGCUCAUGGACUGUUUGUCCCACUCCCAUCAGGGACGGGGUUACAUGGCAUCAACGCCAGGACCAACAGAUUCAUAGUUACUUACCCCAAGCAGUAAGGCUGUUCAACACUAACCUACCCCUCCACACCACCAAAAAAAAACUACUUUAACGUUUCCUCUCAGUCACCAUAUACAGAGGCAUGCAAAAGUUUGGGCACCCCUGGUCAAAAUUUCUAUUACUGUGAAUAGCUAAGUGAGUAGAAGAUGAAGGGAACUCCAAAAGUCAAAGUUAAAGAUGAAACAUUCUUUUCAACAUUUCAACUUUCUUUGUCAAGGACUCUCCUACACCCACCGAUGACCCCUCCUCCUGUCUUCAACCCUCCUCCUCUUCAUGGACACCCCACUCUGGUCUUCUACCUGCUCUGGAUCUCUUUAUUGCUAAUUGCCGAUGGGACAUCAACUGUCUUGACUUCACCACACCCUGUUCCAAUUCCAACCUCACUCCUUCCGAACGCACUGCUCUCCGCUCCCUCCGCACCAAUCCCAACCUCACUAUAAAACCUGCUGAUAAGGGGGGAGCUGCUGUCUGGCGUACUGACCUCUACCUGGCCGAGGCACAGCGACAACUCUCUGAUACCUCCUCUUAUUUACCCCUUGAUCAUGACCCCACUAAGGAGCACCAGGCCAUUGUCUCCUAUACCAUCACCAACCUUAUCAGCUCUGGGGAUCUCCCAUCCACUGCCACCAACCUCAUAGUUCCCACACCCCGCACUUCCCGUUUCUACCUCCUACCCAAGAUCCACAAACCUGCCUGUCCAGGUAGACGCAUUGUAUCAGCUUGCUCCUGCCCCACUGAACUCAUUUCUGCAUACCUUGACACUGUCUUAUCCCCCUUGUUCAAUCUCUUCCCACCUAUGUUCGUGACAUUUCUCAUGCUUCGAAUUUUUUCAAAGAUUUUAAGUUCCCUGGCCCCCACCGUCUUAUUUUCACCAUGGACAUCCAGUCCCUAUAUACCUCCAUCCCCCACUGGGAUGGUCUCGAAGCUCUUCGUUUUUUUUUGGAUUCCAGACCUAACCAAUUCCCCUCUACCACCACUCUCCUCCGUCUAGCGGAAUUAGUUCUUACUCUCAAUAAUUUCUCCUUUGACUCCUCCCACUUCCUCCAAACCAAGGGUGUAGCCAUGGGCACCCGUAUGGGUCCCUGUUAUGCCUGCCUUUUUGUUGGCUUUGUGGAACAGUCCAUGUUCCAAGGCUAUACUGGUAUCCAUCCCCCUCUUUUCCUUCGCUACAUCGACGACUGCAUUGGCACUACCUCUUGCACACGUGCUGAGCUCGUUGACUUCAUUAACUUUGCCUCCAGCUUUCACCCUGCCCUCAAAUUUACCUGGUCCAUUUCCGACACUUCCCUCCCCUUUUUUGAUCUUUCUGUCUCCAUCUCUGGAGACGGCCUAUCUACUGAUAUCUACUAUAAGCCUACAGACUCUCACAGCUAUCUGGACUAUUCCUCUUCCCACCCUGUCUCUUACAAAAAGGCUAUCCCCUUCUCACAAUUCCUCCGUCUCCGCCGCAUCUGCUCUCAGGAUGAGGCUUUUCAUUCCAGGACGAAGGAGAUGUCUUCCUUUUUUAAACAAAGGGGCUUCCCUUCAUCCACCAUUAACUCUGCUCUCAAACACAUCUCUCCCAUUUCCCGCACAUCUGCCCUCACCCCAUCCACCCGCCACCCCACUCGGGAUAGGGUUCCCCUUGUCCUUACCUACCACCCCACCAGCCUCCAGGUCCAACAUAUAAUUCUCCAUAACUUCCGCCACCUCCAACAGGAUCCCACUACCCAGCACAUCUUUCCCUCCCCCCCCCUUCUGCUUUUCACAGGGAUCGCUCCCUACGCGACUCCCUUGUCCACUCGUCCCCCCCAUCCCUUCCCACCGAUCUCCCUCCUGGCACUUAUCCUUGUAAACGGAACAAGUGCUACACCUGCCCUUACACUUCCUCCCUCACCACCAUUCAGGGCCCCAGACAGUCCUUCCAGGUGAGGCGACACUUCACCUGUGAGUCGGCUGGUGUGGUAUACUGCGUCCAGUGCUCCCGGUGUGGCCUUUUAUAUAUUGGUGAGACCCGACGCAGACUGGGAGACCGAUUCGCUGAGCACCUACGCUUGGUCCGCCAGAAAAAGCAGGAUCUCCCAGUGGCCACACAUAUUAAUUCCACGUCCCAUUCCCAUUCUGAUAUGUCUAUCCAUGGCCUCCUCUAUUGUCAAAAUGAAUCCAAACUCAGGUUGGAGGAACAACACCUUAAAUACCAGCUGGGUAGCCUCUAACCUGAUGGCAUGAACAUUGACUUCUCUAACUUCCGUUAAUGCCCCUCCUCCCCUUCUUACACCAUCCCUGACAUAUUUAGUUGUUUGCCUGUUCUCCAUCUCCCUCUGGUGCUCCCCCCACUUUCUUUCUCCUGAGGCCUCCCAUCCCAUGAUCCUUUCCCUUCUCCAGCUCUGUAUCACUUUCGCCAAUCACCUUUCCAGCUCUUAGCUUCAUCCCACCCCCCCCCCCCCGUCUUCUCCUAUCAUUUCGCAUUUCCCCCUCCCCCCACUACUUUCAAAUCUCUUACUAUCUUUCCUUUUGGUUAGUCCUGACGAAGGGUCUCGGCCCGAAAGGUCGACAGCGCUUCUCCCUAUCGAUGCUGCCUGGUCUGCUGUGUUCCACCAGCAUUUUGUGUGUGUUGUUGUUUCAACAUUUUAAGCAAGAUUAGUGUAUUAUUUUUGUUUUGUACAAUUUUAGACUGGAAAAAAAUAAGGAGCACCAUGCAAAAGUUUGGGCACCCCAAGAGAUUUGAGCUCUCAGAUAACUUUUACCAAGGUCUCAGACCUUAAUUAGCUUGUUAGGGCUAUGGCUUGUUCACAGUCAUCGUUAAGAAAGGCCAGUUGAUGCAAAUCUCAAAGUUUUAUAAAUACCCUGACUCUUCAAACCUUGUCCCACCAAUCAGCAGCCAUGGGCACCUCUAAGCAGCUGCCUAGCACUCUGAAAAUUAAAAUAAACGAUGCCCACAAAGCAGGAGAAGGCUAUAUGAAGAUAGCAAAGCAUUUUCAGGUAGCCGUUUCCUCAGUUUGUAAUGUAAUUAAGAAAUGGCAGUUAACAGGAACAGUGGGGGGUCAAGUUGAGGUCUGGAAGACCAAGAAAACUUUCCAAGAAAAUUGCUUGCAGGAUUGCUAGAAAGGCAAAUCAAAACCCCUGUUUGACUGCAAAGGACCUUCAGGAAGAUUUAGCAGACUCUGGAGUGGUGGUGCACUGUUCUACUGUGCAGUGACACCUGCACAAAUAUGACCUUCAUGGAAGAGUCAUCAGAAAAAAAACAUUUCCUGCGUCCUCACCACAAAAUUCAGCGUCAGAAGUUUGCAAAGGAACAUCUAAACAAGCCUGAUACAUUUUUGAAACAAGUCCUGUGGACUGAAGUUAAAAUAGAACUUUUUGGCCGCAAUGAGCAAAACUAUGUUUGGAGAAAAAAGGGUGCAGAAUUUCAUGGAAAGAACACCUCUCCAACUGUUAAGCACGGGGGUGGAUCGAUCAUGCUUUGGGCUUAUGUUGCAGCCAGUGGCACGGGGAACAUUUCACUAGUAGAGGGAAGAAUGAAUUCAAUUAAAUAGCAGCAAAUUCUGGAAGCAAACAUCACACUGUCUGUAAAAAAGCUGAAGAUGAAAAGAGGAUGGCUUCUACAACAGGAGAAUGAUCCUAAACUCACCUCAAAAUCCAUAAUGGACUACCUCAAGAGGCACAAGCUGAAGGUUUGCCAUGGCUCUCACAGUCCCCCAACCUAAACAUCAUCGAAAAGCUGUGUAUAGACCUCAAAAGAGCAGUGCAUGCAAGACAGCCCAAGAAUCUCACAGAACUAGAAGCCGUUUACAAGGAAGAAUAGGCGAAAAUCCCCCAAACAAGAACUGAAAGACUCUUAGGCGGCUACAGAAAGCGUUUACAAGCUGUGAUACUUGCCAAAGGGGGUGUUCUGAACAUGCAGGGUGCCCAAACUUUUGCUUCGGCCCUUAUCAACUUUUGUUACUUUGAAAUUGUAAAAGAUGGAAAUAAAAAAAUAAUCUUGCUUAAAAUAUUAAAGAAAUGUGUCAACUUUAACUUUAUGCCUUUUGGAAAUCAGGUCAUUUUUUACUCACUUAGCUAUUCACAGUAAGAGAAAUUUUGACCGAGGUGCCUAAACUUUUGCAUACCACUGUAUACAGCCUAUGUCACUUUAUGGACAUACAAUCUAUGUAUAUAAGCUACCUUAUGUAUUUAAUUUUUUGGGAUUUUUGUGCUGCAUCGAAUCGAGAGUAACAAUUCUCCUUUACACUUCUGUACAGGAAUUGACAUUAAACAAUCUUGAACAGUGUUAUUGUGCUAUGGUUAAAAGAAAACAUUCAAUUGGCCAUUUUAAUUCUGGUGUAAUAAUGGUCUAGGUAUCCAGGUCUUCCAGCCAUACCGCCCUGCGGUAACCCUAACCUAAUUACGGGACAAUUUGCAAUGACCAACUAACUUACUAACUGUUAUGUUUUUGGACUGUGGGAGAAAACUCGCACAGUCCCGGAGAGAAUAUACAAGUUCCUGACAGGCAGCAGUGGGAAUUGAACCUGUGUCACUAGUAGUGUAAAGCGCUGUGCUAACCACUUUGCUACCUGCCUCUUACCAAGAAUUCAUGUGGAAUCUCGUUGUGGGGUCCAGGCCUUCAUGACUCCCUAGAAUCCUAACUCCGGGUGGCACAGUAGUAUAGUGGUUGGCAUAACACUUCUCAGUGCUAGCAAAAUUCAGAGACUGGACGUUCUUCCUGGGACCAUGUGGGAUUCUCUGGGUGCUCCAGUUUCCUCCCACAUUCGAAAGAUAUACAGGUUAGGGUUAGUAAGUUGUGGGCAUGCUUGUUGGUACUGAAAGUGUAUUGACACUUGUGGGUUGCCUCUAACACAAUCCUCCGACUGUGCUGGUCAUUGAUGCUGUAUGUUUCAAUGUUUUAAUGUACAUGUGACAAAUAAAACUGAAGUUUAUUAUCUG
RNA transcript from Hypanus sabinus (Atlantic stingray), 7744 nucleotides. RefSeq lists it as uncharacterized. Lineage: Eukaryota; Metazoa; Chordata; Chondrichthyes; Myliobatiformes; Dasyatidae. The record is from RefSeq and is a predicted model, not a curated record. The transcript has 2 exons.